AGUGAACGCUGGCGGUAGGCCUAACACAUGCAAGUCGAACGGCAGCACAGUAAGAGCUUGCUCUUACGGGUGGCGAGUGGCGGACGGGUGAGGAAUACAUCGGAAUCUACUUUUUCGUGGGGGAUAACGUAGGGAAACUUACGCUAAUACCGCAUACGACCUACGGGUGAAAGCAGAGGAUCUUCGGACCUUGCGCGAUUGAAUGAGCCGAUGUCGGAUUAGCUAGUUGGCGGGGUAAAGGCCCACCAAGGCGACGAUCCGUAGCUGGUCUGAGAGGAUGAUCAGCCACACUGGAACUGAGACGCGGUCCAGGCUCCUACGGGAGGCAGCAGUGGGGAAUAUUGGACGAUGGGCGCAAGCCUGAUCCAGCCAUACCGCGUGGGUGAAGAAGGCCUUCGGGUUGUAAAGCCCUUUUGUUGGGAAAGAAAAGCAGCAGGUUAAUACCCCGCUGUUCUGACGGUACCCAAAGAAUAAGCACCGGCUAACUUCGUG
RNAcentral lists this ribosomal RNA (492 nucleotides) under uncultured bacterium. RNAcentral describes it as "partial 16S ribosomal RNA". It matches the Rfam family "Bacterial small subunit ribosomal RNA", at positions 29 to 507 of the family's 1533-position model. The record is from RNAcentral.